CGUGCGUGUGCGGAGCGGGAUGGACAAAGCCUUCGUGGAAUCCAUACGCGGGCUUGAACUCGCACCAGUAGGCCAUCGGAUAGCCGCGGUCCGGUUCGCUCUGGCGCCGGCGGUGUUUUUCCUUGUUGUAGAUCGUGUAAUUUCCCGUGGGAGUCGCGGCGCCAGGCUUGCCGACGUUGCCUUGGACCGCCAUGAGCAGGCGGUCGCCUUCGAUCACAUAAAGAUUCUGAGUCGAGAGCGAAAGUUUCACUUCGACCUUUGAGGGGUCCUGCGGCUUGUGCGCGAUGACGCGAUAGCUUCCGGAAGAAACGCUGGUCAUGGAUCCACAACUCGUCAGAAACAGAGCAGCCGUGAAGCCGAG
This 361-nucleotide unclassified non-coding RNA is filed under the name uncultured fungus. RNAcentral describes it as "sequence contains ITS1". Lineage: Eukaryota; Fungi. The record is from RNAcentral.